RNAcentral lists this unclassified non-coding RNA (1038 nucleotides) under Hevea brasiliensis (rubber tree). The record is from RNAcentral. Lineage: Eukaryota; Viridiplantae; Streptophyta; Magnoliopsida; Malpighiales; Euphorbiaceae.
CCAGCCGUGAAAAGUCAAUUGCUCGUUGACCUGUUACAAGCUCUAGAAGCAUAAUCCCAUAACCAAAAACAUCCGUUCUUUCAGAUGACUUCCCAGUAGAUAAGUACUCAGGAGCUAUGUGGCCCAUUGUCCCACGAACUUGAGUUGUCACAUUAGUCUUCCUUACAUCCACCAACUUCGCCAGGCCAAAGUCACCAACAACUGCUUCAAAAUCUUCAUCUAAUAGUACAUUAGCAGCCUUCACAUCCCGAUGAAUAAUUUUAGGAUUGCAAUGUUCAUGAAGGUAUUCCAGUCCUCGUGCUGCACCUAAUGCCACUCUUUUUCUUGUUUCCCAACCUAAAACAGGCUCCUCAGGUUUACGUUCUCUUAGACGAUAAGCCACACUUAAAUUUGGCAUAAAUGGAUACACCAAAAGCCGUUCUGAUGGUGUAGUGCAAAACCCUAUCAGCCGUAGUAGAUUCCUGUGAACAGCUACACUUAUCAUCUCCACUUCACGUUGGAAAGCUGCAUCUCCUCCUGGACUUUCAAAAUCAGUUAAUCGUUUAACAGCAACUUUUGUGUUAUCUUGAAGUACUCCUUUAUAAACUUUUCCAAACCCUCCUUGUCCAAGAAUAUUUUUCUCAUUGAAGCUGUCUGUUGCCAGCUGUAAUUCCCGAUAUGCAAAUCUUUUCAAUUGACCAAAAGCAAUUCGUCGGUCAACUUCACCUGCAACAUCCACAAACACUUCACGUUUGUAACCUUUGUGUCUACCCUUGCAAACAAAAAACAGAAGUCCUCCAAAAAGAAGAAGAAUUAUAGUUCCUCCAACAACUCCAACUAUAAUACCAAUCUUUGGCUUAUUUGAAGCACCUGAAUCACUACUAUCAGAUUCACAGGGUUUGGGAAAGUUUGCACCACAAUUUAAGCGAUUUCCAGUGAAAUUGUAUUUUGGAAUUUGGAACAGAUGCUCAGGAAUUUGACCACUGAGAUCAUUUGAAUCGAGUAGAAUAUUAAUCAACUUUUGGAGACCAGAAAGUGAUUCAGGGAUAGCUCCAGUGA